RNAcentral lists this ribosomal RNA (253 nucleotides) under uncultured bacterium. RNAcentral describes it as "partial 16S ribosomal RNA". It matches the Rfam family "Bacterial small subunit ribosomal RNA", at positions 524 to 776 of the family's 1533-position model. The record is from RNAcentral.
UACGAAGGGAGCUAGCGUUGUUCGGAAUUACUGGGCGUAAAGGGCGCGUAGGCGGUUUAGCAAGUUGGAUGUGAAAGCCCAGGGCUCAACCCUGGAACUGCAUUCAAGACUGCUUUACUUGAAUUCGGUAGAGGUUAGUGGAAUUCCCAGUGUAGAGGUGAAAUUCGUAGAGAUUGGGAAGAACACCCGUGGCGAAGGCGGCUAACUGGACCGACAUUGACGCUGAGGCGCGAAAGCCAGGGGAGCAAACGGG